ACGAACGCUGGCGGCGCGCUUAACACAUGCAAGUCGAGCGGUAAGGCCCUUCGGGUACGACGAGCGGCGAACGGGUGAGUAACACGUGGGUGACCUGCCCUCAGCUCUGGGAUAAGCCUGGGAAACUGGGUCUAAUACCGGAUAUGACCACAUGUCGCAUGGUGUGUGGUGGAAAGUUUUUCGGUCUGGGGAGUGGGCCCGGCGGCCUAUCAGCUUGUU
This 219-nucleotide ribosomal RNA is filed under the name uncultured bacterium. RNAcentral's name for it is "partial 16S ribosomal RNA". It matches the Rfam family "Bacterial small subunit ribosomal RNA", at positions 29 to 250 of the family's 1533-position model. The record is from RNAcentral.